AUUCCAGCUCCAAUAGCGUAUAUUAAAGUUGUUGCGGUUAAAAAGCUCGUAGUUGGAUCUCGGCGGGCAGGGGGUGGUUCGCUCUUCAGCGCUACUGCCCCGCUUUGCCCGUGUGAUUGGCGGAGGUUUCGGGGUGCUCUUCGUUGAGUGACUCGGAGCGCCGUCAGGUUUACUUUGAAAAAAUUAGAGUGCUCAAAGCAGGCUUUUCACGCUUGAAUAUUCGUGCAUGGAAUAAUGGAAUAGGAACUCGUUCCUAUUUUGUUGGUUUUCGGAAAUCGAGUUAAUGAUUAAUAGGGAUAGUUGGGGGCAUUAGUAUUUAUUAGCUAGAGGUGGAAUUCUCUAAUUUGAUAAAGACUAACUUAUGCGAAAGCAUUUGCCAAGGAUGUUUUCAUUA
This 394-nucleotide ribosomal RNA is filed under the name Oithona sp. Its description in RNAcentral is "partial small subunit ribosomal RNA". It matches the Rfam family "Eukaryotic small subunit ribosomal RNA", at positions 582 to 975 of the family's 1831-position model. The record is from RNAcentral. Lineage: Eukaryota; Metazoa; Arthropoda; Copepoda; Cyclopoida; Oithonidae.